Long non-coding RNA from Triticum dicoccoides, 297 nucleotides. RefSeq lists it as uncharacterized. NCBI's taxonomy places the organism in Eukaryota, Viridiplantae, Streptophyta, Magnoliopsida, Poales, Poaceae. The transcript has 3 exons. The record is from RefSeq and is a predicted model, not a curated record.
UGGUGCGGGUCUUCAGGUAUGGGUCCCUGAUCUGGAACCCCGGCUUCGAUUUCAACGAGAAGAUCCUGAGAUUCAUCAAGGGCUACAAGCCUUGCAUUGACCAUAGAGGCACACCACAGAAUCCAUCCAGGACCUGCACCCCUAAAUCCGAAGAUGAAGAAAUAUGCGUAUUCAACGUGAGGAAUUUCAUACUUUUGGUGUGGUGCUAGCAAAUAUAGUGACCAAAGAUAGUGAUGAGAAAGGGUGGAGCUGAGUAUGCCACACAUGGAUAUGAUUAUUCCCCGUAUGUUAUUUUUG